AACGCACAUUGCGCCCCUUGGUAUUCCAUGGGGCAUGCCUGUUCGAGCGUCAUUUGUACCCUCAAGCUCUGCUUGGUGUUGGGUGUUUGUCCUGCCUUUUGCGUGUGGACUCGCCUUAAAGCGAUUGGCAGCCGGCAUAUUGGCCUUGGAGCGCAGCACAUUUUGCGCUUCUCGUCAAUUAUUGUUGGCAUCCAGUAAGUACAAAUUCUAACUUUUGACCUCGGAUCAGGUAGGGAUACCCGCUGAACUUAA
RNAcentral lists this unclassified non-coding RNA (252 nucleotides) under uncultured fungus. RNAcentral's name for it is "partial contains 5.8S ribosomal RNA, internal transcribed spacer 2, and large subunit ribosomal RNA". Lineage: Eukaryota; Fungi. The record is from RNAcentral.